UGGUUCUCGCAUCGAUGAAGAACGCAGCGAAACGCGAUAGGUAAUGUGAAUUGCAGAAUUCCGUGAAUCAUCGAAUCUUUGAACGCACAUUGCGCCUUCUGGUAUUCCGGGAGGCAUGCCUGUUUGAGCGUCAGCAAAACCCUUCUACAAAAUUUUAUUUCUGUAGGCUUUGGGCUUUUUUGGAGGAUGGGUUUUCUAACCCGCUCCGGCCUUAAUGUUGCUGCACGACCGCAAGCUAUUCUUGUUAGGUUAAUAGAGUGGUAAUACAAUUUCUAUACUCUUAACUAAAUAGCCGGUGGCGUUAAACUUGUUGCCUCACCGCAACUGACGUUUGACCUCAAAUCAGACAAGGAUACCCGCUGA
Molecule: unclassified non-coding RNA, 363 nt
Filed under: uncultured fungus
Lineage: Eukaryota; Fungi
Description: partial contains 5.8S ribosomal RNA and internal transcribed spacer 2
Rfam family: 5.8S ribosomal RNA (bases 1-133)
Source: RNAcentral